CGAAAGCYUGACGGAGCAAUACCGCGUGAAGGAUGACGGCCUAUGGGUUGUAAACCUCUUUUUUCAGGGAGGAAUCAAUGACGUGUACCUGAAGAAUAAGCAUCGGCUAACUCCGUGCCAGCAGCCGCGGUAAGACGGAGGAUGCAAGUGUUAUCCGGAAUCACUGGGCGUAAAGCGUCUGUAGGUGGUCAAAUAAGUCAACUGUUAAAUCUUGAGGCUUAACCUCAAAAUCGCAGUCGAAACUAUUAGACUAGAGUAUAGUAGGGGUAAAGGGAAUUUCCAGUGGAGCGGUGAAAUGCGUAGAGAUUGGAAGGAACACCGAUG
RNAcentral lists this ribosomal RNA (324 nucleotides) under unidentified diatom plastid. RNAcentral describes it as "bacterial SSU rRNA". It matches the Rfam family "Bacterial small subunit ribosomal RNA", at positions 376 to 714 of the family's 1533-position model. The record is from RNAcentral. Lineage: Eukaryota; Bacillariophyta.